UUUCCGUAGGUGAACCUGCGGAAGGAUCAUUAGUGAAUACCCUCGCGGCCAUGGCUGUAGCUGAACCGACUGGUAACGCACCCCCGAGGGCCCUUUCACCCAUCCAGCUCACCCCUAUGUCCAACACCACGUCAAUCCCCCUCUUGCUUCAUCGGAGGUGGUCGUACGUUUUCCCACAAACUAUGCAGGCAGUGGAGAGUGUAUAUUUUGUUUUUCCGAUCACGCAAUCAAUACACCUUUGCACAACUGAUCUCUUGACUCUAGCAUCUAUGAAGAACG
This 279-nucleotide unclassified non-coding RNA is filed under the name plant metagenome. RNAcentral describes it as "partial contains small subunit ribosomal RNA, internal transcribed spacer 1, and 5.8S ribosomal RNA". The record is from RNAcentral.